GGUGCGCUUCGUCUCGAGCCACAAACGGAACACAGUUCAGGAGUCGAGCAAACUCCCGAAUGUACUCCUGAACUGUCCACUCCCCCUGUUGAAUCCUCUUCAGAUCCUCCUCGAGCUUCUGUUUCACGCUGUUGGGAAAGUACAUCUCGAACAGCAUUCCACAGAACUCGUCCCACUUCAUCUGCAGCGGCACCAAUCCAUAAUCUCGCCUCACCCUCCUUCACCAGGCGUGAGCGUCGCCUGCAAAACAGUGAACUCCCAGGUGUACCUGCUCUCUCUCUAAAAUAAAUAAAUCCUCGAAUAGCUUCUCCAACGCACUGACCCAGCCCUCAACAACCCAGGCCUCAGUGCAACUACCAUCGAAGGUCGGCAGAUCAAAACGACGGAAACGAGCCAGUCUCUCUAUCAUCCGCUCCUGCUCGGCCUCAGUCAUUUAUACCGGCCCUCUAGGAUGCGCAACUGGCGCUGCGG
Molecule: long non-coding RNA, 471 nt
Filed under: Ananas comosus (pineapple)
Lineage: Eukaryota; Viridiplantae; Streptophyta; Magnoliopsida; Poales; Bromeliaceae
Description: long non-coding RNA (ACOM_LNC026014)
Source: RNAcentral